This 495-nucleotide ribosomal RNA is filed under the name uncultured bacterium. Its description in RNAcentral is "partial 16S ribosomal RNA". It matches the Rfam family "Bacterial small subunit ribosomal RNA", at positions 28 to 507 of the family's 1533-position model. The record is from RNAcentral.
GACGAACGCUGGCGGCGUGCCUAAUACAUGCAAGUAGAACGCUGAAGGAGGAGCUUGCUUCUCUGGAUGAGUUGCGAACGGGUGAGUAACGCGUAGGUAACCUGCCUGGUAGCGGGGGAUAACUAUUGGAAACGAUAGCUAAUACCGCAUAAGAGUAGAUGUUGCAUGACAUUUGCUUAAAAGGUGCAAUUGCAUCACUACCAGAUGGACCUGCGUUGUAUUAGCUAGUUGGUGGGGUAACGGCUCACCAAGGCGACGAUACAUAGCCGACCUGAGAGGGUGAUCGGCCACACUGGGACUGAGAAACGGCCCAGACUCCUACGGGUGGGAGCAGUAGGGAAUCUUCGGCAAUGGACGGAAGUCUGACCGGGCAACGCCGCGUGAGUGAAGAAGGUUUUCGGAUCGUAAAGCUCUGUUGUAAGAGAAGAACGAGUGUGAGAGUGGAAAGUUCACACUGUGACGGUAUCUUACCAGAAAGCGACGGCUAACUACGUG